Molecule: long non-coding RNA, 596 nt
Organism: Symphalangus syndactylus (siamang)
Lineage: Eukaryota; Metazoa; Chordata; Mammalia; Primates; Hylobatidae
Source: RefSeq, a predicted model, not a curated record
CCAGGGCGACCUUCAUUCCCACAAGAAGGACUCCGCCUUGGUCCCCUUGGGUGAAAGCUGCCGCUGCUGAGCGCCUCUGCGGCCCGAGACAAGAUCCUGCUAUGUUGCCCAGGCUGAUCUUGAACUCCUGGCCUCAAGCCAUCCUCCUACCUUGUCCUCACAAAGCAAUGGAAUUACAGCCAAGGCACAACUCCCUCUGACUCCUCCCGAGUGUGAGCCCGUUCCAUCUGCAGCCAACACUUCUGGAAAAAGAGAAGAGUGGGGAGAAACACCAUCUCAUGGUUGGCAUGUGGUGUGAUGAGCCAAGUGAUGGCCCUGCCCACUGGGUCCUGCACUUGCUUCAGGGCUGAGAGGAGCAUUUCUUCUCCCCAAGAAAACAUGUCCAGUGAUUGACCUCAGCCACUGCAUCCUGGGCUGACCGUGGGAUUAGGACUACAAAGAAAAUCUGAUCAAGGGGUUAUGACUCUUAGGCAAAAAUAAAAAUUCUAUUUUAUUGUUUUUAAAUACAGACAUUUUAUUAAGAAGUUAAACAUGCUGUAAAUUUCAGUCUCACUAAUGGAUAUUAGAGAUUUUUAGUUAUUAAAGUACUCAUGAGA